CCGCUCAGCAGCCUCGUCUCUGUUUGUUUACCAAGCCGAUAUCCUUAGAAGUGGUUUCCCUAGUGCUCAACUUCACGCUCGUUUCUCACUACCUGUCCUGCUCCGACUCGAUUCUCGUUCUGGAUUCUUCCUCUCGUCAUUCCUCCGCUCGCCCGCACUUGUCUCCGUCUACGCAUUGUAACAAUGGCUGGGCCAGACAGCAAGACACAAGAAGCUGCACUAAAACCUAUUUAUUUUUAUUUGUACACAUUAUUUACAUUAAUAUUUUUUAAGUUCUUCAGAGAAUAUUACAGAAAUACAGUAAAGCACAAUAUCGGCAUCGACCACUAACCUGCAUUGCUGCUUCAAGAUCUUUACGCUUGGUGCAUUCAUCCAAAGCAGAAGAACACUGAUCUUUACUCCACUCUGUCUGCUCUGUAAUACAUAAUUUAAUCUUUUUCUUUCCACACAAUUUGUCUAGC
Long non-coding RNA from Ictalurus punctatus (channel catfish), 461 nucleotides. NCBI's taxonomy places the organism in Eukaryota, Metazoa, Chordata, Actinopteri, Siluriformes, Ictaluridae. The record is from Ensembl.